This 253-nucleotide ribosomal RNA is filed under the name uncultured bacterium. RNAcentral's name for it is "partial 16S ribosomal RNA". It matches the Rfam family "Bacterial small subunit ribosomal RNA", at positions 524 to 776 of the family's 1533-position model. The record is from RNAcentral.
UACGGAGGGGGUUAGCGUUGUUCGGAAUGACCGGGCGUAAAGCGCGCGUAGGCGGAUCAGGAAGUUGGGGGUGAAAUCCCGGGGCUCAACCCCGGAAUGGCCUUCAAAACUCCUGGUCUUGAGUUCGAGAGAGGUGAGUGGAAUUCCGAGUGUAGAGGUGAAAUUCGUAGAUAUUCGGAGGAACACCAGUGGCGAAGGCGGCUCACUGGCUCGACACUGACGCUGAGGUGCGAAAGCGUGGGGAGCAAACAGG